RNAcentral lists this non-coding RNA (216 nucleotides) under Loktanella sp. S4079. RNAcentral also lists the same sequence under 1 other name. Lineage: Bacteria; Pseudomonadati; Pseudomonadota; Alphaproteobacteria; Rhodobacterales; Roseobacteraceae. The record is from RNAcentral.
GAUUGAACCAAGCGCGAUGGUUCUUUGUGCAUCCCAGAUGAAGCGCAAAGAUGAAAAAGGGAACACGGUGAGGAAUAGCCAAUCGGCGCCAAUUCCGUGACUGCCCCCGCAACUGUAAGCGGUGAGCAAUCCGUCGAUCCACUGGCGUUAUCGCUGGGAAGGGACGGUGCGCUUUGACCCGCAAGUCAGGAGACCUGCCAUCUGAUUUUAACCGUA